RNAcentral lists this ribosomal RNA (498 nucleotides) under uncultured bacterium. Its description in RNAcentral is "partial 16S ribosomal RNA". It matches the Rfam family "Bacterial small subunit ribosomal RNA", at positions 30 to 523 of the family's 1533-position model. The record is from RNAcentral.
AUUGAACGCUGGCGGCAUGCCUUACACAUGCAAGUCGAACGGUAACAGGUCUUCGGAUGCUGACGAGUGGCGAACGGGUGAGUAAUACAUCGGAACGUGCCUAGUAGUGGGGGAUAACUACUUGAAAGAGUGGCUAAAACCGCAUGAGAUCUACGGAUGAAAGCAGGGGAUCGCAAGACCUUGUGCUACUAGAGCGGCCGAUGGCAGAAUAGGUAGUUGGUGGGAUAAAAGCUUACCAAGCCGACGAUCUGUAGCUGGUCUGAGAGGACGAUCAGCCACACUGGGACUGAGACACGGCCCAGACUCCUACGGGAGGCAGCAGUGGGGAAUUUUGGACAAUGGGCGCAAGCCUGAUCCAGCAAUGCCGCGUGCAGGAUGAAGGCCUUCGGGUUGUAAACUGCUUUUGUACGGAACGAAAAGCCCCGGGUUAAUACCCUGGGGUCAUGACGGUACCGUAAGAAUAAGCACCGGCUAACUACGUGCCAGCAGCCGCAGUAA